UUCAGCCGAACACCCCUCUUAGCCCCUUCAUAUUUUCGAAAUUUUGAUGUUCUUGCAAGAACUAAAUUAAAUCCAAGGUGUUUCCAAGCUAUUUUGAUGAUCAAAAGGUGCUUUCUUGGUGAAACAAGCUUUCAAACAUCAAAAAUCAUGUACCAUAGUUGGUGAUAUUUGAUGAUGAUAUUGAUGAAUGCUCACAUAGGAACGGACGAGACCUUAGUGACUUAAUA
This 227-nucleotide long non-coding RNA is filed under the name Helianthus annuus (common sunflower). RNAcentral's name for it is "sRNA HanXRQr2_Chr10g0435681". Lineage: Eukaryota; Viridiplantae; Streptophyta; Magnoliopsida; Asterales; Asteraceae. The record is from RNAcentral.